RNAcentral lists this ribosomal RNA (414 nucleotides) under uncultured prokaryote. Its description in RNAcentral is "bacterial SSU rRNA". It matches the Rfam family "Bacterial small subunit ribosomal RNA", at positions 505 to 918 of the family's 1533-position model. The record is from RNAcentral.
GUGCCAGCCGCCGCGGUAAUACGGAGGGUGCAAGCGUUAAUCGGAAUUACUGGGCGUAAAGCGUGUGUAGGUGGUUCGUUAAGUCGGAUGUGAAAGCCCCGGGCUCAACCUGGGAACUGCAUUCGAUACUGACGGACUAGAGUUUAGCAGAGGAAAGCGGAAUUCCGGGUGUAGCGGUGAAAUGCGUAGAUAUCCGGAGGAACACCAGUGGCGAAGGCGGCUUUCUGGGUUAAGAAUGACACUGAGGCACGAAAUCGUGGGUAGCAAACAGGAUUAGAUACCCUGGUAGUCCACGGCCUAAACGAUGUCGACUGGCUGUCUGGUUCAUUUGGAACUUGGUAGCGAAGCUAACGCGUGAAGUCGACCGCCUGGGGAGUACGGCCGCAAGGUUGAAACUUAAAGGAAUUGGCGGGG